This 137-nucleotide small RNA is filed under the name Pseudorhizobium pelagicum. RNAcentral's name for it is "Alphaproteobacterial sRNA ar35". It matches the Rfam family "Alphaproteobacterial sRNA ar35". The record is from Rfam by way of RNAcentral. Lineage: Bacteria; Pseudomonadati; Pseudomonadota; Alphaproteobacteria; Hyphomicrobiales; Rhizobiaceae.
GUGGCAUGACGAUGGGCGCCGAGUCGAUCGCCGCUCGCAGUGCCCGCAUCGCUUGAACCCUGACCACGGAUGUACUGGUGCCGGUGACAUGCGAUGAUGAGGAAGGUCGGUGCGAUUUCGCCCCGGCCUUUUUUGUU